CAUAAUAAGUGUUUUAUGGCACUUUUUAAAUCCAUAUCCACCUUGUGUGCAAUGUCGGUCGAUCUUCUUCUUUUGAGGAUCGAGCCAAACAUCAACCUUUAUCUUUUAACUCUUGUCUGAAAAAUAUUAUGAAUAAACAAUUCAAAAUA
This 149-nucleotide unclassified non-coding RNA is filed under the name soil metagenome. RNAcentral describes it as "partial internal transcribed spacer 1". The record is from RNAcentral.